RNAcentral lists this ribosomal RNA (465 nucleotides) under uncultured bacterium. Its description in RNAcentral is "partial 16S ribosomal RNA". It matches the Rfam family "Bacterial small subunit ribosomal RNA", at positions 338 to 795 of the family's 1533-position model. The record is from RNAcentral.
CCUACGGGAGGCAGCAGUGGGGAAUAUUGCGCAAUGGGCGAAAGCCUGACGCAGCGACGCCGCGUGAGGGAUGAAGGUCUUCGGAUCGUAAACCCCUGUCAGCAGGGAAGAACGGUCACUGUGCUAAUCAGCAGUGAAUUGACGGUCCCUGCAAAGGCAGCACCGGCUAACCCCGUGCCAACAGCCGCGGUAAUACGGAGGGGGCGAGCGUUAAUCGGAAUUACUGGGCGUAAAGGGCUCGAGGGCGGUAUGUCAAGUCAAGGGUGAAAUCCCCGGGCUCAACGUGGGAACUGCCUUGGAAACUGUCAAACUGGAGUGUGUGAGAGGAGAGUGGAAUUCCAGGUGUAGGGGUGAAAUCCGUAGAUAUCUGGAGGAACAUCAGUGGCGAAGGCGACUAUCUGGCACAUAACUGACGCUGAGGAGCGAAAGCGUGGGUAGCAAACAGGAUUAGAUACCCCAGUAGUC